Non-coding RNA from Rattus rattus (black rat), 375 nucleotides. The record is from the annotation of a RefSeq genome assembly. NCBI's taxonomy places the organism in Eukaryota, Metazoa, Chordata, Mammalia, Rodentia, Muridae.
AUGGAAUGGAGCUGGGUCUUUCUCUUUUUCCUGUCAGUCCCUGCUGGUGUCCACUCCCAGGUCCAUCUGCAACAGUCUGAAGCUGAGCUGGUGAAACCUGGGUCUUCAGUGAAAUUCUCCUGCAAGGCUUCUGGCUACACAUUCACCAGCUAUCCUAUGGAAUGGGUAAAGCAGAAGCCUGGACAGAGCCUGGAAUGGAUUGGAACUAUUGUUACUGGAAGUGGACAUACUGCCUACAAUGAGAAGUUUAAGGGCAAGGCCACACUGACUGCAGACACUUCUGCCAGCACAGCCUACAUGGAACUCAGCAGAUUGACAUCUGACGACUCUGCAGUCUAUUACUGUGCAAGACACAGUGUUGUAACCACAUCCUGA